AUUGAACGCUGGCGGCAUGCCUUACACAUGCAAGUCGAACGGUAACGGGCCUUCGGGUGCCGACGAGUGGCGAACGGGUGAGUAAUACAUCGGAACGUGCCCGAUCGUGGGGGAUAACGAGGCGAAAGCUUUGCUAAUACCGCAUACGAUCUACGGAUGAAAUCAGGGGACCGCAAGGCCUUGCGCGGGCGGAGCGGCCGAUGGCAGAUUAGGUAGUUGGUGGGAUAAAAGCUUACCAAGCCGACGAUCUGUAGCUGGUCUGAGAGGAUGAUCAGCCACACUGGGACUGAGACACGGCCCAGACUCCUACGGGAGGCAGCAGUGGGGAAUUUUGGACAAUGGGCGCAAGCCUGAUCCAGCCAUGCCGCGUGCAGGAUGAAGGCCUUCGGGUUGUAAACUGCUUUUGUACGGAACGAAAAGCCUUCUUUUAAUACAGGAGGGUCAUGACGGUACCGGAAGAAUAAGCACCGGCUAACUACGUG
RNAcentral lists this ribosomal RNA (482 nucleotides) under uncultured bacterium. Its description in RNAcentral is "partial 16S ribosomal RNA". It matches the Rfam family "Bacterial small subunit ribosomal RNA", at positions 30 to 507 of the family's 1533-position model. The record is from RNAcentral.